This is a non-coding RNA of Plectropomus leopardus (leopard coralgrouper), 1153 nucleotides long. NCBI's taxonomy places the organism in Eukaryota, Metazoa, Chordata, Actinopteri, Perciformes, Serranidae. The record is from RefSeq and is a predicted model, not a curated record.
CCAGCACACAAAGACUCAGACUCAUCCUGCAUUGUGAUGUGGAGUAAACUGUGCAGUAAUGAACAGAGGGACAUGGAGGAAAGGCAGCGUUCGCUGAAUUCUGGGGCUUUUUGUGCCAUUUUAGCAGAGUCAUUAACUUGGUCCAUUUAAAGAGUCCCAGGAGCAGCUGACGUGUAAAGUGUUAAGAUUCAGCGUCUGCUGAGUUGCCACAGCUCUGGGAAUGAAGCUUAGCAGAUUAUCUGAUCACAUGGUGCGCUGAUACACCGGCACGGGCAGUCACGUGCGGUGGGCGAGGAGAGUCCUCAGUCACAGAACAAGACUUUCACUAAUGUGAGAUUUAAAGACGGAGUGAAACAAAAAAGACACUUGUGCAAUUUUAACCCUGUAUACCUGUGUUAAAUGUUCAUUUUCUCCCAUUAGAUGCCAAAUUUAUGUCCAAAAGAGUAUUUUUACACCAAAAUAGUUGCAUACUGAUUUGAGAAAACAUGUCCUUCAACCUGGAAACUUCAGACCCAUCAUGCUCCAGGGGAGGGAGGUCUGUGUGAAACCAACAGUCCACAGCAGCUCCAUAUCACCCUCUUAAAGCCAUUUCUUGCAAGCACUUAUAAAUUCCCAUUUUUUGAGUCACCUGAAUGCCUCACCUGACGUGGCAUCUCAUUACCCUCUCAUUAAAGGCAGGUGUGUAAAACUAGUUGAGCAGGGAAAACAGCAGCAGUCUUCGACGGCCGUGUGUUUGGUUGAAUCUUACUUUCAUUGUUUGAUAAAUCUGUUUAUCGCGCCAUUGAAUGAAACUUUGUUUCUUAAUUUUGUAAGAGUUUGUUUUAUUUCGUUUGAAAGCAAUAGUCAGACAAUUAAGUUUCAUGUCACCCAGCAACUCUCCACACAUCCUGCAACGACACACAAGGCACCAUCGGACAAACACUCAUAGAACGGGCCGAGGACGCGAAGGAGCUCCUCCACCUCGUCUGACAUGGGCAUGCCCUCCAGGAUCUACACAGCAGACACAGCAACAGUCCCCAAAAUACCUCCCUGAGGAGAUCACCUGACCCACCAGAGGAGAGGAGGAUAAAUCAAGCGCACCUGCCCGACAGGCUCCACCCUCCUCAGGUGCAAUCCCUCUGUCUAAUGAGAGGCUAUAUGUGUCGCCUGUCUC